This 466-nucleotide ribosomal RNA is filed under the name uncultured bacterium. RNAcentral describes it as "partial 16S ribosomal RNA". It matches the Rfam family "Bacterial small subunit ribosomal RNA", at positions 28 to 507 of the family's 1533-position model. The record is from RNAcentral.
GACGAACGCUGGCGGUGUGCUUAACACAUGCAAGUCGAACGGUAAGGCCCUUUAGGGGGUACUCGCGCGGCGAACGGGCGAGUAACACGUGAGUAACCUGCCAUCAUCUUUGGGAUAACAGUCGGAAACGGUUGCUAAUACUGGAUAUGAGCUUGCAUCGCAUCUUGUGGGUUGGAAAGAUUUUUUUGGUUGGGGAUGGACUCGCGGCCUAUCAGCUUGUUGGUGAGGUAGUGGCUCACCAAGGCUUCGACGGGUAGCCUGCCUGAGAGGGCGAGCGGCCACAUUGGGACUGAGAUACGGCCCAAACUCCGACGGGAGGCAGCAGUGGGGAAGAUUGCACAAUGGACGGAAGUCUGAUGCAGCAACGCCGCGUGCGGGAUGACGGCCUUCGGGUUGAAAACCGCUUUCAAGUGUGACGAAGCUUUUUGUGACGGUAGCAGUAGAAGAAGCACCGGCUAACUACGUG